UACGUAGGGGGCAAGCGUUGUCCGGAAUCAUUGGGCGUAAAGCGCGUGUAGGCGGCUUGGUAAGUCCGCUCUGAAAGCCCGGGGCUCAACCCCGGGAGGCGGGUGGAUACUGUCAAGCUCGAGUACGGAAGAGGCGAGUGGAAUUCCUGGUGUAGCGGUGGAAUGCGCAGAUAUCAGGAGGAACACCAAUAGCGAAGGCAGCUCGCUGGGACGUUACUGACACUAAGGCGCGAAAGCGUGGGGAGCGAACAGG
Molecule: ribosomal RNA, 253 nt
Filed under: uncultured bacterium
Lineage: Bacteria
Description: partial 16S ribosomal RNA
Rfam family: Bacterial small subunit ribosomal RNA
Source: RNAcentral